CGGAGUGCUGUAACUGCUCGGUACUAGCCCUGAAGUGGAACCCGAGGCAGCCCAAAAAAAUAAAAUAGCCUUCAUCUCCCUUAACAUGGUGACUGUAGCUGUUCCAUAUGGAAAAGGACAAUGCUGGUGCAUGCUCUAGAAGCUGUGUGCAAGGCAGGUGGCUAUCCUGGGCAGUCGCUGCUGUGGCCAUAGUGCAGCAGAAAUGGAGUGUGGGAAGGUCUCUCAACCCGUGUAAUGCUUCACAAGUCACUCUGGACAAGGAUUACUGGGAGGAAACCUCAAGGCACACCAAGGUUCUAAAUCCACUAAACCAAGAUGUCAGAGUAAGAGAAAAGGAAGAGGGCAAUCACUGCCCGCCGGCAGCAUCUGAAGGUA
This 375-nucleotide long non-coding RNA is filed under the name Chrysemys picta bellii (western painted turtle). RNAcentral describes it as "lncRNA (ENSCPBG00000007427.1)". The record is from RNAcentral. Lineage: Eukaryota; Metazoa; Chordata; Testudines; Emydidae.